This 612-nucleotide ribosomal RNA is filed under the name uncultured bacterium. RNAcentral describes it as "bacterial SSU rRNA". The stretch from base 1 to 541 matches the Rfam family "Bacterial small subunit ribosomal RNA", at positions 338 to 873 of the family's 1533-position model. The record is from RNAcentral.
CCUACGGGAGGCAGCAGUGGGGAAUUUUGGACAAUGGGCGCAAGCCUGAUCCAGCCAUGCCGCGUGCGGGAAGAAGGCCUUCGGGUUGUAAACCGCUUUUGUCAGGGAAGAAAUCCUUUGAGCUAAUACCUCGGGGGGAUGACGGUACCUGAAGAAUAAGCACCGGCUAACUACGUGCCAGCAGCCGCGGUAAUACGUAGGGUGCGAGCGUUAAUCGGAAUUACUGGGCGUAAAGCGUGCGCAGGCGGUCUUGCAAGACAGGUGUGAAAUCCCCGGGCUUAACCUGGGAACUGCACUUGUGACUGCAAGGCUGGAGUACGGCAGAGGGGGAUGGAAUUCCGCGUGUAGCAGUGAAAUGCGUAGAUAUGCGGAGGAACACCGAUGGCGAAGGCAAUCCCCUGGGCCUGUACUGACGCUCAUGCACGAAAGCGUGGGGAGCAAACAGGAUUAGAUACCCUGGUAGUCCACGCCCUAAACGAUGUCAACUGGUUGUUGGACGGCUUGCUGUUCAGUACGAAGCUAACGCGUGAAGUUGACCGCCUGGGGAGGCGGUCGCGAGUUAGAACGUACGAAGAAGUAGNGGCGNGNGCGAGGCGACGACGAGGGAGGAGG